UGGGGAAUAUUGGACAAUGGGGGGAACCCUUAUCCAGCCAUGCCGCGUGUGUGAAGAAGGCCUUAUGGUUGUAAAGCACUUUAAGCGAGGAGGAGGGUACUGGUAUUAAUACUACCAGGUACUGGACGUUACUCGCAGAAUAAGCACCGGCUAACUCUGUGCCAGCAGCCGCGGUAAUACAGAGGGUGCGAGCGUUAAUCGGAUUUACUGGGCGUAAAGCGUGCGUAGGCGGCUAAUUGAGUCGGAUGUGAAAUCCCCGAGCUUAACUUGGGAAUUGCAGUCGAUACUGGUUAGCUAGAGUGUGGGAGAGGAUGGUAGAAUUCCAGGUGUAGCGGUGAAAUGCGUAGAGAUCUGGAGGAAUACCGAUGGCGAAGGCAGCCAUCUGGCCUAACACUGACGCUGAGGUACGAAAGCAUGGGGAGCAAACAGG
This 430-nucleotide ribosomal RNA is filed under the name Pseudomonadota bacterium. Its description in RNAcentral is "Proteobacteria bacterium partial 16S ribosomal RNA". It matches the Rfam family "Bacterial small subunit ribosomal RNA", at positions 355 to 776 of the family's 1533-position model. The record is from RNAcentral. Lineage: Bacteria; Pseudomonadati; Pseudomonadota.